AUUGAACGCUGGCGGCAGGCCUAACACAUGCAAGUCGAGCGGAGCGGCGGACGGGUGAGUAAUGCCUAGGAAUCUGCCUGGUAGUGGGGGAUAACGUCCGGAAACGGGCGCUAAUACCGCAUACUAUCAGAUGAGCCUAGGUCGGAUUAGCUAGUUGGUGGGGUAAAGGCCUACCAAGGCGACGAUCCGUAACUGGUCUGAGAGGAUGAUCAGUCACACGGGAUCUGAGACAGUGUCCAGAGUCGUACGGGAGUCAGCAUUGGGGAAGAUUGCGCAAAGGGCGCAAGCCGGGUGCAGCCAUGCCGCGUGUGUGAAGAAGUUCUUCGGGUUGUAAAGCACUUGCAGCGGGUAGUAGUUACCGGCAGAAGAAGCACCGGCUAACUCCGUGCCAGCAGCCGCGGUAAUAC
RNAcentral lists this ribosomal RNA (407 nucleotides) under uncultured bacterium. RNAcentral describes it as "partial 16S ribosomal RNA". It matches the Rfam family "Bacterial small subunit ribosomal RNA", at positions 30 to 526 of the family's 1533-position model. The record is from RNAcentral.